UCACAGAAUUUAGAAAACCAUCAAAAUAGUAUGAUUCUCCGUAUGUGAUUGGAAGAGUCAACUUGAACACUUUAAACUGAUCUGAACAAACUGCACGAGGCAUUGCAAAUGUUUACUCGGUGUUGUAUUGAUUCUUGACUGGCUGUUAAUUUUAUACAAGCUAAAGACGACCUUAUUUUGAAUAUAAUUUUGAAAGAGUCAGACCGCUAUUAACUGGUUAUGCACAAGGCAUUUUAGAUUUGCAAGCGUAGGGGAUGAAUCUUGACAGGCUGUUAAUUUUAUAGAAGCUAAUGUUGACCUUAUUUUAAAUAUAAUAGAGUGUUAUUGUCUGGAGGUGUUUGAUAUUCAGUCAGUAGAACAUGCAAAAUAUUGAAAUGAUUUGCUGCUGUGACUGUGUUUAUGAUUAUCCACGGCAAG
Long non-coding RNA from Hydra vulgaris (swiftwater hydra), 417 nucleotides. RefSeq lists it as uncharacterized. The record is from RefSeq and is a predicted model, not a curated record. Lineage: Eukaryota; Metazoa; Cnidaria; Hydrozoa; Anthoathecata; Hydridae.